RNAcentral lists this ribosomal RNA (137 nucleotides) under uncultured eukaryote. RNAcentral's name for it is "partial 18S ribosomal RNA". It matches the Rfam family "Eukaryotic small subunit ribosomal RNA", at positions 1299 to 1458 of the family's 1831-position model. The record is from RNAcentral.
UGGUGGAGUGAUCUGUCUGGUUAAUUCCGAUAACGAACGAGACCUUAACCUGCUAAAUAGUCAAUCAAACUUUGGUUUGAAAUGACUUCUUAGAGGGACUAUUGAUGUUUAAUCAAUGGAAGUUUGAGGCAAUAACA